AUGAUGCAAGGCAUUAUAAAGGCCAUUAAAGCUACAACCAAAGGAAAAGACUUGGAAUUUUCAAAUGAAAAUGGAGUGAAACAAUGGAGAGGCGCCUUUCUUUAUUUGUCGUGUUUCAAAUCGCCCCAUUACAAAACUAAAUACUCGCUACACUUUCAAAAUCAUUACAUCAUCACAAGUCCUUUACACCAUACCAAGAAAUACAUCAAUUUUGUUCAAGAAUAA
RNAcentral lists this long non-coding RNA (225 nucleotides) under Vicia faba (fava bean). Lineage: Eukaryota; Viridiplantae; Streptophyta; Magnoliopsida; Fabales; Fabaceae. The record is from RNAcentral.